RNAcentral lists this unclassified non-coding RNA (9483 nucleotides) under Manduca sexta (tobacco hornworm). Its description in RNAcentral is "probable histone-lysine N-methyltransferase CG1716, transcript variant X3". The record is from RNAcentral. Lineage: Eukaryota; Metazoa; Arthropoda; Insecta; Lepidoptera; Sphingidae.
CAUAGAUGGCUGUCCGAUCACUCAACUCUAAGAAAAAAGCAAAAUGCAAUGAACUGAAAUGCGAGAAAAAUGAACUUUCUUGAUGAAUAUCUAUAGUUUAUGUUGUGAAAGAGGUUAACUGUUCUUGUAUAUAUUUUGUGUUCCUACAAAUGUUACGCAUACUGUUUUAUAGGAAAAGUAAUGGUCAUUUGUAGCUGCUUCGAAGUAGUAGAGCAAUGGCGAAGCGAAAGAAGGCAGCGACAAAGCCCGUGGCGACGAGGCGGACGACUCGACGCGGGAAACAGACUGGCGGCGCCUCGGCCAUUGCGGAAGGCGAGGCAUCGGCGCCACCGCCUGUCGACACCACCGCCGAGCCCAGCGACCCGCCCCCUGCAGCCACUAUAGAACAAAUUGCUUCUAAGAAUGAUGAGACCACCGUACCAGAACCCCAAACAUCUGAAACAUCCGAAACUCCCAUCUCAAAGCCUAAUCAAGUACCGUUUGUGUCAUUGCACAAGAAAUUUGGCAAGUACCGGUGUCUGUUCACAAAUGAUGACACAUUUACUAGAAAGUAUGAUGUUGGCAGUGAUAGUGAGACAAAUAGUAGUGUAGAAAUAAGGAUUGUUGAUCCGUGCGCUAGUUCAGAAUCAGAUUCCAAUGCAGCAUUGGACACACAGUCUGACACUAAUAGUGGUGCGUGUCCCAGCCCAAUGAAUAAUGCAACAAAUGCUACAGAGAGGUCUAGAGAUGUGUCUCCUGUGGUAAUGUUAGAUAAUGUACAGGAAAGUAAACAAUGUGUAACAAAUGAUGUUAAUACAAUCAACAGCAGAGAAGUAGAGUCUCCAUCUAUAUUAGAUGAUCCAGUACCAUAUGAGGAGCAUGUUGAGGAACCUAAAACUGAGUCUCAACCGGAAUCUGCUGCUAACAAACAAACAAAUGCUGAAAUUGAGCUCAGUGCUGCUGUCCCUGAGUAUGUUGAAGAAACUUUAAUCACUCAUGACAUUCCAUUGGAUGAUAUGCAAAUAGAAUAUGCUGUUGAUGAUGAUGAAGUUAUUACGGUUGUCCAAAUUGUUGAGGAUGACAAUCCAGAGCUUUACUAUGACAUCAAAAUUGAUAGCCCUAAAGCAGAGAAUAAUGAAGAAUCUAAUAAACCAGAUCCUGAUUUCCAGAAACAUUUUGAAAAUUUAAAAUUGGUUACUACGGAAUCUGAGUCCCCAUUGGAUUGUAACGAAACAAGUGAUAAUAGAACAGGUUUACUUACUUGUGUCCCUGAGGAAAGCUUUUCCAAGGGCAUUGUGAAUGAAAUGCUAACUCGUCCAGAUCCUAGUCUAACACCAAGCUCAACACUAUCUGAUGACAGCAAUUCAUCACGGGUUACAGAUCAAGUUCAAAACUCUAAUGACUCAGCUGAAUCUUCACCCACUGGUGUUAGAAGAUCAAGCCGCAUUAAAACCAUAAGCAACAUGAAACAAAAGACUAAAGGGUAUGGGUUAGUAAAAACUCCAUUAAAAAAGGCAUUGAUAACGCAAACCAAGUUGAAAUUGGAAGAAACAAGUUCAGACAGUCAAGAUAAGCCCGAAUUGGCGCCAAAUAAUGCGCCGAGUUCACCCUUUCCUGUGCCCUCAGAAAUGCCCGUAAAAGUGAAAUCCAGAUGGCGUCGGUCAAGCGAGUUGGAGAUGGGCGCCAAUUCACCAGCCAAUUCGCCACUCGCGAGUCCAAGUUUGCCUCAACGUUUGCCAACAGUGGCAGAAGCUGAAGUCAACAAUGCUCCAGAAGAAGAUACCCCAUCCAAACCCUUAAGCAAAGAGGCAUAUGAUAAAAUAAUUCAAGAAAGAAUGGACCAGUACCAGCAUUUAGAUGAGAAUGAAUACCUGUGUGAUCGGAUGAUCAGUAGGGAGACUAAGAAGAUGAUUUGUGACUGCUUUUUGACCAAAGAGGAGUUGGAACGUGGGGAACUGGCUUGUGGAGAGGACUGUCUCAAUAGAUUGCUUAUGAUUGAAUGUAACUCCAGAUGUCCAGUUGGUGAUAGGUGUACAAACAGAAGAUUCCAGAAGAUGGAAAAUGCUGCUUUGAAGGUGUUCUAUGCUGAUAAGAAAGGUUGCGGUGUGGAAGCCUCAGUUGACAUUCCUAUGGGUGAAUUCUUAAUGGAAUACGUCGGCGAAGUGCUCGACUACGAGCAGUUCUACAAACGGGCGCAGGCCUAUUCCGAAGAGAACAACAUGCACCACUAUUUCAUGUCGCUAAAGGGCGACACCGUAAUCGACGCUACAGUAAAAGGCAAUAUUUCACGUUUCAUCAACCAUUCCUGUGAGCCGAACGCCGAGACCCAGAAAUGGACAGUGAACGGCGAACUGAGAAUAGGGUUCUUCAGCAAGCGAGAUAUUGUCGCCGGCGAGGAGAUAACGUUCGACUAUCAAUUCCAACGGUUCGGAAAGGUGGCGCAGCGCUGUUAUUGCGGUGCGGAGGCGUGCCGCGGCUGGAUCGGCGGCGAACCUGACUCCGAUGACGAUGAUGAUGAUGAGCAUUGUAUGUUUAUUCAGGAGGAGGAAGACGUGUCGACGUCGAAGGACUUGGCCGGUUCCACCGAGGAGUCGCAGGCCUUGCUGGCGGAGCAGCCGCGCCCGAGACCGCGCAAGGCCAAGCCGCGCAAGUACAAACCUAAAGCGCCCGACCUAGUGCAGGACGCUGAUAUCGAGGAAGAUCUAGAAGCUCUAAGCCGCACCGGGGUGAAGAACCAGUCGCACACAUUGCGCCUGUCGCGUACGGUGGUCCGCGCGAAGGGCCGGCCGGCGCAGCUGUCCCUGCUGCGGCUCCUGCGCGACGCGGACCUGCCGUGCCGCCGCCUGUUCCUGGACUACCGCGGCCUGCGACUCCUCGCGCCGUGGUGUGCCGACGCGCCGCUCGACUUCAGGUUGGAGAUGCUGCUAACAGUGGACCGUCUUCCGAUCCCGAACAAGACGAUGGUGCAAGAGAGUCGUUUCUUCAACAUCGUAGAGCGUUGGCUUAGCGCGGCCGACGUGCCCGUGGACAACGUGUACAUUGACGAAGCCACAGGUUUACCAAUAGAUCUGCCUAACAGACCAAAUCAGGAAAACGCACUGAGUCCAGAGAAAAUCAAGGAGAACGCCAUCAUGUCGGAAAAAGUUAAAGAUCUCUCCAACCAACUGCUGGAGCGGUGGUCCAGUUUGAAGGAAGUUUUCAAAAUUCCAAAGAAAGAACGCAUACAACAAAUGAAAGAACAUGAGAGGCAGGCGAACGUUGAACGUCGCGCUGCAGACUCAAGCGGAACUCGAGAUCGAGAUAGGGAACGGGACCGCGAUCGCCGGGAAGAUCGGGAGCGUGACCGGGAAAAGGAGAGGGAGAGAGAGCGCGAACGGGAACGAGAAAGAGAACGGGAUCGAGACCGUGAACGGGACAAGGACCGCGAGAGGUAUAGAGAACGUGACCGCGAGCGAGACAGAGACAGGGAUAGAGACGACCGCGACAGGAGGAAAAGAAGGACCAGUCCUGAGGGCAGGAGAAGCAUUAGACUGAGCGAGCGCGUGCUGGCGCCGGUGCCGCCCAUGAGCAAGGAGGAGCGGCGGCGCGCGUUCGCCGAGGCCGCCGCCGCCGCCGAGCGCGCGCGCCGCCUGCCGCGCUGGCGCAGCGACUACGCGCAGAUGUUUCCUGGCGGUAUGAUGGGCGGUCCCGGCGUGCAGCCUGGCAUGAUGGGAGGCUGCGUGCCCGGAGUGCCCGGAGUUCCGGGUGUACCAGGGGUCCCUGGCGUGCCGGGCGUGCCAGGAGUCGGUGAGGUGCCCGACUGGAUAACGCAAGAGUAUCCGCCUCAAUCCGGCUACUUCCCGCCGUUCCCCGGAGCCCAACAGUAUUGCAUGCCGCAGCACAAUAUGAUGAGUAUGAGCGGGUUCGGCAUGGGCGGGUUCAUGUUCGGUCCGGGGGCCCUGGCGGGCGCGCUGCCCCCCACCCCCGGGCCGGCCCCCGCGCCGGGCGUGGCGUCUGCCCCGGCGCCCUCGCCUUUUGGCCACCAUGGACCGUUACCGCCAGAACCAGAGGCGUUGAGCGUGUCGCUGUCAGCGAGUGCGGCGAGUGUGGGCGGUGCAGCGAGCGUGCGGCUGCCGUCGCAGUGGCGCAGCGCGAAGGACGCGCGCGGCCGCACCUACUACUACCACGUCAAGCUGCGCCAGCCGCAGUGGGCGCCGCCGCCGCCGCCCGAUGAGAGUUCGUCAGAAGAGGAAGACGAUCAAGAUAACGCCUUGGACAGUCCUAUAGUGAGAAGACAUGUAAAAGGGAAGCUUGUGGAAGGCGUAAACGGGAUAUACGAAGUGAUAAAAGAAGACACGCAUAACGGUUUGAUACCGGACCACGCGCUUCUUAACAUGAGGCCGAGAAAACGAAGAGUUGGUUUGGUCUCAGAAAGGCCUAUAAGCCCUAGAACAGAGGAGGAUAAACUGGCGGGCAGGUUAGAAGUGAAACGGUAUAAACAGACAAAGGAGAAGUUGCGAAGAAGACGGGAGAGGUUGAUGCAGAAGGUGCGCCUGCUCUCGGGCAAGUUGAAAGUGAAGGCUGGACCACAAGACAAGCUCGCGGUGUUGGAGCUGACCGAGACGGACAGCGACACCGACUCGGAGGGCUCGGACGAGGGAGACAAGGCCGCGGAGCUGUCACCCAGCGCGUCACCCCCGAGCGCGGCGCCGUCGCCCGCGCCGGUGAUCGCCGGCGCCGUGAGCGAGCGCGACAGCCGCCGCAUCAAGGAGCAGUUCCGCAGCGCCAUGGCCGGCGUCAUGGUGCACCACCUCAACCCCUACCGGCACUCCGACGCGCCGGCCGGCAGGAUCACCUGCACCGCUGACUUCAAACACCUGGCUAGAAAGUUAACUCACUUCGUGAUGCUGAAGGAGCUGAAGCACUGUAGAUCAGUGGACGAGUUGGUGGUGACGGACUCUGUACGUGCGAAGGCGCGGACGUUCGUCAAGAAGUAUAUGGCUAAGUUCGGACCCGUGUACAAACGCCCGCCCGAGGAGAUCGACUAGCCGAAACUCUCGCGGCUGCUUUACGCGAUUGUGUGAUGAUAGUUGGGGUUUUGUGUUCACUGUCGUAUCCAAUGUGACGUCACAAGUGUCAUGUGAGAUGUUUGUAACUAAGUUCAGACGCGAACGCCUAAGGAAGCUGAAUAGACGCGGUAUACGAUCCUGUCUAUAGAUAUGUUCAUUGUGUGUUUGAGUUUCAUAUGUCGUAUGUUUCACGUCAUUUAACUGAUCAUUUCCAUUUUGCACAAGUCUACAAUCAGUAAGAUACUAAAGAAAAAAAAACUUAUAUUCAAAAACAAAUCAACAAAAGCUUAUUUUGUUCUCUUAUGGUAUACAGAUUUUAGGUCUGAAGUUGGCUUCGAGACGCGUCACAAUUGGUAGUUUAUGAUAGAGAGCGUGGAUGGCAUGUUUAAAUCUAACUAACUUCAAGCUGGUUAUAAGCUACAUUUAUAAUUGGGUAUUUAGACAGUGAAUGCGUUAAGGCAUGUACGGUUCAGUAGAAAGGCUUGGGCGUUGUGUAUGCAGUGCGCGAUAUUAUAAAUAAUAGCAGUUGUAAAAACUUUUGUUAAUGCGAGUAAAUAGCUGUCAAUGCACCAUUGACCGACAAUUUGUUAUAUGCAAAAUGCGCAGAACUUUCAAUCUAUCAUUUGAAACACAUUAGAUUUUUAAAGUGUUGUGGGUGAAUAUGUGAAUUGAGCAUUAGGUAACUCACUUGCAAACUUGUGAUGUGAUUUGUAUUAUUACAAAUUAUGAAAUAUAAAAAGUAAAUUUUUACUUAUUAAAAUUUUCUUAGUUAUUUUUUUGUAAGUCUAAAAUGUUAUUUAAAGGAAGCAAUAUUAUUAUCAAAAACGUUAUGUAACAAAUUGUCAGCAUAAAAGUGUUAAGAUCCCUAAUCACACAUUACAAGAUAAUAUAGUAAGACGAACUUUUAUUUGUAAGAAAAUGUCGAUGUAUUAGCGUAAUUGUAAUUGUAACUGGAAUUAUUAGUACACAAAUGUAGGGUUAGUUCAGACUACAUCGGGUAGUCGAUUCAUAGGAGUUCUGGGGGAUGUUAGAAACGCGACGUCAACACGACGUUGUCUUGUCGAUGUAUCGCGGGAAUAUCAAUGAAAUAGUUUAUAUUUAAGGCCAAGAGUAUAGGCAAUAAAACCUACAAGACGCUACGUUAUAGGGAUUCUAGUUUAACUAGUAUAGCAUCAAGUUACAGUCACAGGUAUUCGUUGAUUUACUGCUAUUUUCAAUAAACGAUCCGUUUCAAGAGAAUGUGGUCUUAAAAAGUGUUUUGUGAUGAUGAGCAAUAAACUUUACGUCGCAUAGUUAGGUAAUUGUAGUACAUAUUGGACUAUCGUUUAUGCUUGGUACUGAUCGGAUCAGGCACCGCCCGGUCGGUCUCUACUAUAAUAUAAAGCUAAAGAGUUUGUUUGUUUGAACGCGCAAAUCUCAGGAAGUACUGGUUCGAACUGAAAAAUAUUUUAGUGUUGGAUAGCCUAUUUAUCGAGGAAGGAAGGAAUAACAUCACGCUGUGAUCAAUAAAAGCGGAGUAUCAAUGAAAAAUGUUGCAAAAAUGGUGAAAAUGUAUUUAUUUUGGGAGCCUUCGUUGCGUACAAAGUGUGCAGCACAAAGUCCCCGGACUUGUUUGUCUGUUUGAAUGUAAUAAACUGAAAAACUAUCGAACGGAUUGCGAUGAAAUUAAGUAUGGAGAUAGUUUGAGACCCUGGGACGGACAUUAGCUACUUUCUGUCCCGGGAAUAUAUAGCUGGACUUUAUUGCCGGAAAACUUUAUCACGGAUUUUUUUUAACGCGGGCGGAGCCGCGACGCGGAUCUAGUCCGUUCAACACGAGCAAAACCACGUUCAUAUGUACGUUUGUAAGCUUUAUUGUCUAUGGCCAAAAGACCAUGUUUCUAACGUCCCCUGGAAAGUGUCAAGAUUUUUCUAUCGUACCGUUAAAUUUCGAUAGAUUAGUGAUAGUGUUCGUGUGCGCUGUCCGUGUGUUUAUAGAGAGUUUUAAUGUUUUUAACGUAAUGUAAAUAUAUCCAUAGACAAUGUGUGAGUUUGCUAUACAUGUACGAUUAUGACGGAAUAUUUUUAUUUUGUUUAUUUUAAUGACGUAGUAUUGUAGGUAUUUUUUAUAAAUGGAUACGUUUCGUUUACGGACACUCGGAAGUGUAUAGGGAAGUUGCAAAUCGAUAAAAUGUCAACUGACGUCGCAAAGUGGGACAAUAUUUAAGGGAAAUAUUGUGUUUAGUUGUGGUUUCGUCCGAACAAAGGUUCAAAGGUUUGAGUUUUCAAUGUAUUGAAUGUCCAGUUCUAACUAUAUCCUACAUGGUCGAUUAUUAGUCGGAUUUAACGUGGGAAAGGCAAAUGUAGUGCUUCGAUAGUUUAUAAAAUGCUCAUAUUUAAAAACGAAUAAGUCACGACUUGCGAUAAUAUGAUGAGAUACUAACAAUAUGCGGUAUUCGAUUUGACCAUUCUGAAGUGAGUAGCAAACUGUAUUUAUUGACUAACGAGUGACAGGGACGUACAGAGUGGUUAGUGACUAACUUCAUUAGACUAAAUUUAAUUGUUACAACUCAAACAAUAUGGGCCUUCUAUAUACUGUCCUAGCACUGUGAAAUUAUCAAAACUGCUCAUUUGCUGUUUUGUAAAGUGUAUGAAUUCUAAGAGAUAUAUAGAUAUAUUAAUAUGACGCGAUAUUUGUUGCGAUGGAGAUUUUUUAGAGGUUACGCAGGGCACAAUUGUGAUUAAUGUGGGCUGAAAUCAUUUGCUUAGGGUCUAACGGCGACAAAAAGUAAAUUUGCUCUGGGCAACUUUAGCCUUAUCUCCAUUAUUUAUCAAAGCAACCACAAACAAAUCAAAUAUUUUGCUGCACUUUUUUAUGUCAGUCAUUCGGCUGGUAAUGAAAACGAAACAAAAAAAUAUUUACCCUAAAUUAAUUGACAAAUGUGCUCUGUUGUGAAUUAAACUUUACAACCACAAGUUGCAAUGAUCUCUACAGCUCGCGAUUUUUUGUACCACCCAUUUUUAAUGUAAGACGCGAUCGAAAUUCGCAACUCGAAUACGAAUCUAAUUAAGUUGAAUGUUUCUAAUAUAUGUGCAGUAUUAAAAUAUGUUUUUUUUUUAAGUACUGACGAAGUGUGCUUUUAUAGAGCAUCUUAAAUUUUUGGAUGAAUAAAAAUGCAAUUAAUCGCUGUAAAUGGCUUAUAAAUAGUUGGCAGUUACAGUAAUUUAAAUAUAUUUUUCUCUAUGACUGUGUUGUAUUGUUUGCUAUUGUCUAUAGUCCAUGUAGUUUUUCAGAUCAGCGCUGUGUGCAUUUGUUUCGUUUCAUGAUGUAUUGUCUCUCGUAUUUGUACAGUGUCCUAAAUAUUUGAAGCCAUAUGAAAUUAUGAAUGAAUAUUGUACGUGCAAUAAACUAAAAGAGCGACCAGGGCCGAAUCGGAAUAGAUUCGAGUAGGUUACAUUUAAUUAUUCGAAUAAAUGUUAAUAUAUCGAGCACUGACCUCGUAGUUGUAAAUUCAAGUAGGUAAGAAUUCGGCUAAUUUCGGUAAUUCGCGUUAAAUUAUAGAUUCGCUCCUGGUGGCCAUGAACGAUUUUUACAUUUCGUAGUAUCGGUCUAAUGUAUGUAGUUUAAUACUUUAGAGUGUUGAGCUGUUAGUGUACUUGCGUAGAAGCCUCAAGUGUUCGAGCUAAGCGAAAUGGAUGAUCUCUUCAAAUUCAAAACUUCGGAUUAUCAAGCUUCUAUAUUAAAUUGUAUUUUGUUCUGACUUACGACAGACCUGAUACGUAAAAAAAUAUAUCUAUAAUAAAUACAAUUUAGAAAUCAUAUUAAAUAAAUAAUAUUGGUAGUGGAGGAUAUUCUUGAUUCUGUCUGUAUGUCUAAAGUAUUUUGUUUCUUUCCUAUUAUAUUUAACCUCUUCCAUGCGAGACUGCAUGAUCACAACGAAUAAAAAAUUGUACAGACAUGCGUUGUGUGUAAACUCUUUUUUAAUAAUUCACAGACAAUAUAGCUAUAAAACCUGGCGAAAAUUAUUUUAUGUAAACACUCUAACGUCCCUAAAAGGUGGUAUAAGGAUAAUACAUAAUGAUUGUGAGUGGUCGAGAAACCAAAGUGUAAGGUGUUGUACGUGUUGGUUGAUCCACCAAUCACAAUCAAACGAUACGGACGUUCGUGUCGUUUUUCAUAACACAGUGUAGGGAGCAGUACGCAUUGAAAGGGUUAUUCUCUGCUCAAAUCUUACUCUACAAAUUAUAAAAAACAUCGCAAAGACAAAAAAAUUGCAUGGAAUAUCAAGUGUACACGAGAUCAUUUAGUACGAUUAUGUUAUUGUAAAUAUUGUACAUAGACCAGUGAAUUAUGACGGUGUGUAUGAAGAUGAGAUAUUUUUAAUGUUAAAUGGAUUGUGAGAGCGCGGGCCGCGUGACCCGACGCCGCGUUUAGAUGUAAGCAGCCGAUGGAACAAAAUAAAGUGUUAUUUCUUUUA